This 341-nucleotide unclassified non-coding RNA is filed under the name Hevea brasiliensis (rubber tree). The record is from RNAcentral. Lineage: Eukaryota; Viridiplantae; Streptophyta; Magnoliopsida; Malpighiales; Euphorbiaceae.
CAACAUUGAAAUACAAGUUAGCUUCCAAGUUGACUGGAGCAGGGGGUGGGGGUUGCGUACUGACUCUGCUACCAACCUUGUUAUCAGGAACAGUUGUUGAUAAAGUAAUUGCUGAACUGGAGUCAUGCGGAUUCCAAUGUUUGAUUGCCAGAAUAGGUGGGAAUGGUGUUGAGAUUUGCAUUGGUGGUUCAUCCUGAUUAUAACAGGGCAGCAAUAAAUUAGAGUAAGAUCUUAUCUUUAAUGUCAAUUUUCAAAUAAGAUCACAAAGUGUAGGCUUUGCUGGUAAAGCUGAUUUAUUUCUUACGACAUCAUCUGUAUGAUAUUUCGUUGUUGUUUAUCUU